GGUUGUAUGAGGUAGUGGUUAGCCUAUCUGAUUUUGAAAGAAUUUCAGAAUACCUGAGUUCGAAUCUCGGUACGACCU
Molecule: non-coding RNA, 78 nt
Organism: Microstroma glucosiphilum
Lineage: Eukaryota; Fungi; Basidiomycota; Exobasidiomycetes; Microstromatales; Microstromataceae
Source: the annotation of a RefSeq genome assembly